RNAcentral lists this ribosomal RNA (497 nucleotides) under uncultured bacterium. RNAcentral's name for it is "partial 16S ribosomal RNA". It matches the Rfam family "Bacterial small subunit ribosomal RNA", at positions 28 to 507 of the family's 1533-position model. The record is from RNAcentral.
GAUGAACGCUGGCGGCGUGCCUAAUACAUGCAAGUCGAGCGAACGGACGAGAAGCUUGCUUCUCUGAUGUUAGCGGCGGACGGGUGAGUAACACGUGGAUAACCUACCUAUAAGACUGGGAUAACUUCGGGAAACCGUAGCUAAUACCGGAUAAUAUUUUGAACCGCAUGGUUCAAAAGUGAAAGACGGUCUUGCUGUCACUUAUAGAUGGAUCCGCGCUGCAUUAGCUAGUUGGUAAGGUAACGGCUUACCAAGGCAACGAUGCAUAGCCGACCUGAGAGGGUGAUCGGCCACACUGGAACUGAGACACGGUCCAGACUCCUACGGGAGGCAGCAGUAGGGAAUCUUCCGCAAUGGGCGAGAGCCUGACGGAGCAACGCCGCGUGAGUGAUGAAGGUCUUCGGAUCGUAAAACUCUGUUAUUAGGGAAGAACAUAUGUGAAAGUAACUGUGCACAUCUUGACGGUACCUAAUCAGAAAGCCACGGCUAACUACGUG